UUGUGAGUUAGUUAAGGUGUAGAAUUUUAAACCCACACAUACUCAUAUUUUAUUUUGUAUGUGAUGUGUGGCUCGAUAGUUAUAAGAAGAGUUUGUUCCUAAAGUGCUUGAUUGAAGGUUAUAUAGUGCUAUUUCUAUAAUAGCAAUUUUAUAGAUUUUAAUAAUAGGUGUAUUUUAUUGGAUAAGUAUAGUGGACUUUAUGAAUUAGCUUAUAAGGAAAGACAACCUUCCUUUUCUCCCUUCUUCUACCAAGGUGCCGUAUCCCUCUUCUUUUCUUCAACCUCCAUGUUUGUCGAUCCAAGCUCCAAGAAUCACUUCAAAAAAAUCACACCUAUAUUCAUCCAGAAACGUAUAUUAAGGUUUGAGUGGCAGUGUAGAGUGAACAAGCAAAGACUUCUAUUUCAUUAAGCGUAUCAGGUUGAGCUGAUGUGGUGAUGGUGCUACAAUGAGCGGAGUCUCCAGGGUUGUUAAUAAAUAGUUAACAUGUCUAGAAUAUGUCUUCAUACAUAUGUCUAGCUACAUUCCGCUGCAAGAUGUUGUUGAUGUUAUAGUAUGUUAUGUCAUACUUUGAGUCUUAAUAAAAUGGUUUCAUAUGAUGUAUAACUUGAUUAAUGAUAUUAAUUAAGUUUUAUGCUGUCUUUCAUAGACUGUUUUCAAUUGAGUAUUAAUGAAUAAAAAUGACGAGUUUUAUUAA
This is a long non-coding RNA of Salvia miltiorrhiza (redroot sage), 694 nucleotides long. RefSeq lists it as uncharacterized. The record is from RefSeq and is a predicted model, not a curated record. The transcript has 3 exons. NCBI's taxonomy places the organism in Eukaryota, Viridiplantae, Streptophyta, Magnoliopsida, Lamiales, Lamiaceae.